GUAACACCCAAACACCACGGUUAGCCAAACAGCUCUUCAGACAUCACGCAAGUUUGGUAGCCCUGGGAGGGUCCCAUGGAGCCCUGUGCCACCAACAUGCCAGGGAUUCUGUAAAGCUCUUAGCUGUGCCAAAUUUUGUACAAACAGAGGAAUCAGUUCCCUUUCCAAAGACCUGCCAUACAGCUUAAAGAUGGCGGUGAACUGCAAGCAUGGCAAGAACUUUGUAGUGCUUAUUUGGAAGAAGCCAGUGGAUAGCCAGCUGCUUUGCAUUAUUCAGGUGGAAGAAGGAACAAAGUCAUUUUGGUCUGGAAUACAGUGGGAGCUGCAGGAGCAGGGACAGCACACUGCUUCAGCCUCAGUCAUGACGUCCCUGAGAGGUAAUACUUGUGAGAAGCAGGAAGGUGUGAGGGAAUCAUACGCCCACACCAGACAAACUCACCUCCCUGUCAUCAUGUGCUCACUGGCCACGACUGGAAUGAGCACGUCACGUGCAGGAGAAAUCAAGGGGAAUACAUCAUCUAGUGCACACAGUGAGGAGAAACCAGAACAAACCUCCCCUCUUGCCUCUCCUACAUCAUCUUGGACUUACAAAAGAGGCUCACUUCUCCCUGGCUGGGGCUGCCAGCACUUUGCUUCAAGGUAG
RNAcentral lists this long non-coding RNA (643 nucleotides) under Numida meleagris (helmeted guineafowl). RNAcentral describes it as "lncRNA (ENSNMEG00000012886.1)". The record is from RNAcentral. Lineage: Eukaryota; Metazoa; Chordata; Aves; Galliformes; Numididae.